UUCCGGUUGAUCCUGCCGGACCUUACUGCUAUCGGGGUGGGACUAAGACAUGCGAGUCGAGCGUCUCUAGCUAUGUUGAGACGCGGCAGACGGCUCAGUAACACGUGGCUAACCUACCCUCAGGACGAGGACAAACCCGGGAAACUGGGGCUAAUACUCGAUAGGUGAGUAUGUCUGGAAUGAUUUCUCACUCAAAGGGCUUUAGAAACAUGCUUCUAAAGUCGCCUGGGGAUGGGGCCGCGUCCGAUCAGGUUGUUGGUGAGGUAAUGGCUCACCAAGCCUAUAACCGGUACGGGCCGUGAGAGCGGUAGCCCGGAGAUGGGUACUGAGACAAGGACCCAGGCCCUACGGGGCGCAGCAGUCGCGAAAACUCCGCAAUGCACGAAAGUGUGACGGGGCUACCCCGAGUGCCAUCCGCUGAGGAUGGCUUUUCUUUGGUGCAACUAGCCGGGGGAAUAAGGAGAGGGCAAGACUGGUGUCAGCCGCCGCGGUAAUACCAGCUCUCCGAGUGGUAGGGAUGAUUAUUGGGCUUAAAGCGUCCGUAGCCGGCUUAGCAAGUCUCCUGUUAAAUUCAGCGACCUAAUCGUUGAGCCGCGGGAGAUACUACUAGGCUAGGAGGCGGGAGAGGUCGACGGUACUUCUGGGGUAGGGGUGAAAUCCUAUAAUCCCGGGAGGACCACCAGUGGCGAAGGCUGUUGACUAGAACGCGCUCGACGGUGAGGGACGAAAGCUGGGGGAGCGAACCGGAUUAGAUACCCGGGUAGUCCCAGCCGUAAACGAUGCGGGCUAGGUGUUGGGGUGGCUACGUGCCACUUCAGUGCCGCAGGAAAGCCAUUAAGCCCCGCCCGCCUGGGGGAGUACGGCCGCAAGGCUGAAACUUAAAGGAAUUGGCGGGGGGAGCACCACAAGCGUGAAGCUUGCGGUCCAAUGGCAUCACGCCGGU
Molecule: ribosomal RNA, 943 nt
Filed under: uncultured archaeon
Lineage: Archaea
Description: bacterial SSU rRNA
Rfam family: Archaeal small subunit ribosomal RNA
Source: RNAcentral